UAGGGAAUCUUCCGCAAUGGGCGAAAGCCUGACGGAGCAACGCCGCGUGAGUGAUGAAGGUCUUCGGAUCGUAAAACUCUGUUAUUAGGGAAGAACAAAUGUGUAAGUAACUAUGCACGUCUUUACGGUACCUAAUCAGAAAGCCACGGCUAACUACGUGCCAGCAGCCGCGGUAAUACGUAGGUGGCAAGCGUUAUCCGGAAUUAUUGGGCGUAAGGCGCGCGUAGGCGGUUUUUUAAGUCUGAUGUGAAAGCCCACGGCGCAACCGUGGAGGGUCAUUGGAAACUGGAAAACUUGAGUGCAGAAGAGGAAAGUGGAAUUCCAUGUGUAGCGGUGAAAUGCGCAGAGAUAUGGAGGAACACCAGUGGCGAAGGAGACUUUCUGGUCUGUAACUGACGCUGAUGUGCGAAAGCAUGGGGAUCAAACAGG
RNAcentral lists this ribosomal RNA (429 nucleotides) under Actinomycetes bacterium. Its description in RNAcentral is "Actinobacteria bacterium partial 16S ribosomal RNA". It matches the Rfam family "Bacterial small subunit ribosomal RNA", at positions 355 to 776 of the family's 1533-position model. Lineage: Bacteria; Bacillati; Actinomycetota; Actinomycetes. The record is from RNAcentral.